This 484-nucleotide ribosomal RNA is filed under the name uncultured bacterium. RNAcentral's name for it is "bacterial SSU rRNA". It matches the Rfam family "Bacterial small subunit ribosomal RNA", at positions 30 to 507 of the family's 1533-position model. The record is from RNAcentral.
AUUGAACGCUGGCGGCAUGCCUUACACAUGCAAGUCGAACGGCAGCACGGACUUCGGUCUGGUGGCGAGUGGCGAACGGGUGAGUAAUGUAUCGGAACGUACCUUUCAGUGGGGGAUAACGUAGCGAAAGUUACGCUAAUACCGCAUAUUCUGUGAGCAGGAAAGCAGGGGAUCGCAAGACCUUGCGCUGAUUGAGCGGCCGAUAUCAGAUUAGCUAGUUGGUGGGGUAAAGGCCUACCAAGGCGACGAUCUGUAGCGGGUCUGAGAGGAUGAUCAGCCACACUGGAACUGAGACACGGUCCAGACUCCUACGGGAGGCAGCAGUAGGGAAUAUUGGACAAUGGGCGCAAGCCUGAUCCAGCCAUGCCGCGUGAGUGAAGAAGGCCCUCGGGUUGUAAAGCUCUUUUGUCCGGAAAGAAAAGCGCCGGGUUAAUACCCUGGUGUCCUGACGGUACCGGAAGAAUAAGCACCGGCUAACUUCGUG